GUGUCAUCCCGAAGCAACCGGGCUCUUUUCUAUGUCUUAGAAUAACAUAUAAUUUCAUUUCUUGCAUGUUGCAUUGUAGGAUUGCAUGUUUAACCUUCUCCUUAUGCUUUCUAAAUGGUAACCUAGUGUGCAUAGAAUGCUAGGUGAAUAGGAUAGGUGAGGAUUGGGUUGGGACAGUUGAUCCUAUAGUGCUAAAGAAAAGAGGUGAACUUGAUGGUUAUCUAGUGACUUAAAGAGUGGCAUCUAAAUGUCUAAAGAACAAACGAGUGGCAUUAAUGUAGUGUACUUGACACUAGAGGUUUGAGAACCUAGGGAUAGGUGAAUCCCUUAGAAAAUGUCUUAUGGACAAGAACUUAGUAAAGCUAAGUAUCCUCACAAGGAGAGGAUGUAAAUGAGUUUCAAUUGAG
This 407-nucleotide long non-coding RNA is filed under the name Ananas comosus (pineapple). RNAcentral describes it as "long non-coding RNA (ACOM_LNC037882)". Lineage: Eukaryota; Viridiplantae; Streptophyta; Magnoliopsida; Poales; Bromeliaceae. The record is from RNAcentral.